UCAGGACGAACGCUGGCGGCGUGCUUCAUACAUGCAAGUCGAACGAGAAGCUGACUUCGGUCAGUGGAAAGUGGCGGACGGGUGAGUAACACGUAGGAAAUCUGCCCUUUGGAGGGGGACAACAGUUGGAAACGACUGCUAAUACCCCAUAUGAGCUAAGUUGAAAUACUUAUCUUGAAAACUCCGGUGCCAAAGGAUGAGCCUGCGCCUGAUUAGCUUGUUGGUGGUGUAAUGGACUACCAAGGCGACGAUCAGUAGCUGGUUUGAGAGGAUGAUCAGCCACAAUGGGACUGAGACACGGCCCAUACUCCUACGGGAGGCAGCAGUAGGGAAUUUUGCGCAAUGGGGGAAACCCUGACGCCAGCAACGCCGCGUGAUUGAUGAAGCCCUUCGGGGUGUAAAGAUCUGUCAGUAGGGACGAAAUUUGACGGUACCUACAGAGGAAGCACCGGCUAACUCCGUGCCAGCCGCCGC
RNAcentral lists this ribosomal RNA (474 nucleotides) under uncultured bacterium. RNAcentral describes it as "bacterial SSU rRNA". It matches the Rfam family "Bacterial small subunit ribosomal RNA", at positions 24 to 518 of the family's 1533-position model. The record is from RNAcentral.